AUCGAGACUUAGAGUCACAUCCUUACACUUAUUAUUGUCUUGAUGUGCUUAUAGUUUUCGAAGAGCAAUUACUGAUCUUAUUCACUGGUUGAGCUUUAUAGUUCAGUCAGUUACACAAUCAGUAACAUUG
Molecule: small nucleolar RNA, 130 nt
Organism: Chiloscyllium plagiosum (whitespotted bambooshark)
Lineage: Eukaryota; Metazoa; Chordata; Chondrichthyes; Orectolobiformes; Hemiscylliidae
Product: small nucleolar RNA SNORA3/SNORA45 family
Source: RefSeq, a predicted model, not a curated record